Molecule: RNA transcript, 2359 nt
Organism: Brassica napus (rape)
Lineage: Eukaryota; Viridiplantae; Streptophyta; Magnoliopsida; Brassicales; Brassicaceae
Gene name: probable methyltransferase PMT10
Exons: 10
Source: RefSeq, a predicted model, not a curated record
AAAACUAUUCUUCCUUCCUUCUGUUUCUGUUCUGUUCCAUUGUCUUCAUGCGAGUAGCAGUCCUCGAGUUUCGUACCUUCACUCACUCCCACAUCUCCCACGUGUCUCAACCUCCACCUUAUUCCUCCGUCUCUCCACCGUCGCCGUCAUUAACUCCGUUAAAAACUCUGUUUUUUUUUUUCUGCUCGAUCCGUCGCCAAAGUGCUCUGCCUUCGUCACCGUGACGAUGAAACUCUCCGACGUCGGAUUAGACGCAGUGAAGACGCCGAGAUUGGUCAAAGUCAUCGCCUUUGCGCUCAUCUCGAUCACAACCAUCUUCCUCUUCAACCACUUCUCUGAUUCCUUCUCUUACCCGUCUCUCGUCUCCUCCCCGGAAGCUCUACAAACCAACGCAACCACCGUCUCCGCCGUGCCACCAUCUCCUCCGCCGCGUCCUCGUCUCAAGAUCUCCCCUCCUCCUCUCCCACCGACGGUGGUCCGGACGGGAAUCAUCGACGAGAACGGCGCCAUGUCUGACACCUUUGAGAUCGGAGGGUUCGAUCCCGACGCCGUCGAUGAGAUCAAGACCGGGAACUCCUCCUCCUCGUCGGAAGCAACCGGAGACUCGAAAGCAGCGUUUCGGAUUGAGAAGCUUAGUGUGUGUGACAAGAGGAAGACGGAUCACAUUCCAUGUUUAGACAACGAAGAAGAGAUCAAGAGGCUGAACAGUACUGACAGAGGAGAGAACUACGAGAGGCAUUGUCCUAAGGAGAGACUUGGCUGCUUGAUUCCGCCGCCAGAUGGGUACAAGAAACCAAUCCCAUGGCCACAGAGCAGAGACAAGAUAUGGUUCAACAAUGUGCCUCAUACACGCUUAGUAGAAGACAAAGGAGGUCAAAACUGGAUAAGAAGAGAGAAAGACAAGUUUGUUUUCCCUGGAGGUGGAACUCAGUUCAUCCACGGAGCUGAUCAGUACUUAGACCAGAUCUCUCAGAUGGUUCCCGGCAUUACGUUUGGUGUAAGCACUCGUGCUGCAUUGGACAUUGGCUGCGGCGUGGCGAGCUUUGGUGCCUUUUUGAUGCAGCGUAACACGACAACAUUGUCUGUAGCACCUAAAGAUGUCCAUGAGAAUCAGAUACAGUUUGCGUUGGAGCGUGGUGUCCCUGCAAUGGUGGCUGUGUUUGCUACUCGGAGGUUGUUGUAUCCAAGUCAGGCUUUUGAGAUGAUCCAUUGUUCAAGAUGCAGAAUCAAUUGGACCAGAGAUGAUGGGAUACUUCUUCUUGAAGCUAAUAGAAUGCUUAGAGCAGGAGGGUACUUUGUUUGGGCUGCACAACCUGUUUACAAACAUGAGGAUAACUUGCAAGAACAGUGGAAAGAAAUGGUAGAUCUUACGAGCCGAAUCUGUUGGGAGCUUAUCAAGAAAGAAGGCUAUAUAGCUGUGUGGAGGAAGCCUCUAAACAAUAGCUGCUAUCUCAACCGAGAAGCUGGAGCCAAGCCUCCUUUGUGCAGACCUGAUGAUGAUCCUGAUGAUGUUUGGUAUGUGGAUAUGAAACCGUGCAUCACUAGAUUACCUGAAACUGGCUACGGGGCUAAUGUCUCCCCAUGGCCUGCACGUCUUCAUGAUCCUCCAGAGAGGUUGCAGAGCAUUCAAAUGGAUGCUUAUAUAUCACGGAAGGAGAUUAUGAAGGCAGAGUCUAGGUUUUGGUUUGAAACAGUAGAGAGCUAUGUGCGGGUUUUUAGAUGGAAGGAGUUUAAGCUAAGGAAUGUUCUUGACAUGAAAGCUGGCUUUGGAGGGUUUGCAGCAGCAUUAAACGAUCUAGGGCUUGACUGUUGGGUUAUGAACGUUGUUCCCAUAAGUGGAUUCAACACCUUGCCAGUUAUCUAUGACCGUGGGCUUGUGGGGACUAUGCAUGACUGGUGUGAGCCAUUUGACACAUACCCAAGAACCUAUGACUUAAUACAUGCUGCAUUUCUCUUGUCUAAUGAGAAGAAGAGGUGCAACAUAACAAACAUAAUGGUGGAGAUGGACAGGAUGUUAAGACCAGGAGGAAGGGUUUACAUAAGGGACUCCCUGUCUUUGAUGGACCAACUUAAGCAAAUAGCUACAGCCAUUGGUUGGAGAGCUGGGGUCCAUGAUACAGGAGAAGGACCACACGCAAGCGUUAGGAUACUCAUUUGCGAUAAAGGGAUUUGAGAAAAGGAUACAAAAAUCCUUAAUGGGAUGAUAAGUCUGCUCAAAGCAAACAGUAGUAGUAGAGUACUGACUGAUAAUGAUUGCGACGUUGUUUUAUUUUAUUUUUCUUGUAUAAUGGAAAGAGUGGAAAUACACUUGAGCACAUUUUAACACUGAAAGAAAGUUGAGAAACAAAGAUUUAUUAUA